Molecule: ribosomal RNA, 433 nt
Filed under: uncultured bacterium
Lineage: Bacteria
Description: partial 16S ribosomal RNA
Rfam family: Bacterial small subunit ribosomal RNA
Source: RNAcentral
AAUGAACGCUGGCGGCAUGCCUAACACAUGCAAGUCGAACGAAGGCUUCGGCCUUAGUGGCGCACGGGUGCGUAACGCGUGGGAAUCUGCCCUUGGGUUCGGAAUAACAGUUAGAAAUGACUGCUAAUACCGGAUGAUGUCGUAAGACCAAAGAUUUAUCGCCCAAGGAUGAGCCCGCGUAGGAUUAGCUAGUUGGUGGGGUAAAGGCCUACCAAGGCGACGAUCCUUAGCUGGUCUGAGAGGAUGAUCAGCCACACUGGGACUGAGACACGGCCCAGACUCCUACGGGAGGCAGCAGUGGGGAAUAUUAGACAAUGGGCGAGAGCCUGAUCCAGCAAUGCCGCGUGAGUGAUGAAGGCCUUAGGGUUGUAAAGCUCUUUUACCCGGGAUGAUAAUGACAGUACCGGAAGAAUAAGCUCCGGCUAACUUCGUG